RNAcentral lists this ribosomal RNA (775 nucleotides) under uncultured Neocallimastigales. RNAcentral's name for it is "partial large subunit ribosomal RNA". It matches the Rfam family "Eukaryotic large subunit ribosomal RNA", at positions 23 to 634 of the family's 3401-position model. Lineage: Eukaryota; Fungi; Neocallimastigomycota; Neocallimastigomycetes; Neocallimastigales. The record is from RNAcentral.
AGAGAGAGACAUGCGCGCAUAUCAAUAAGCGGAGGAAAAGAAACUAACAAGGAUUCCCUUAGUAACGGCGAGUGAAGCGGGAAGAGCUCAAAUUUGAAAUCUUCAAGGUUUUACCUUGACGAAUUGUAGUUUAAAGAAGUGUUUUCUACUUGAAGUUUUGGUAAAAGUUCUUUGGAAUAGGACAUCAUAGAGGGUGAGAAUCCCGUAUUUGACCAUUAUUUUCAGCUUUGUGAUACACUUUCAAAGAGUCGGAUUGUUUGGGAAUGCAGUCCUAAAAUGGGUGGUAAAUUUCAUCUAAAGCUAAAUAUUGGCGAGAGACCGAUAGCGAACAAGUACCGUGAGGGAAAGAUGAAAAGAACUUUGAAAAGAGAGUUAAACAGUACGUGAAAUUGUCAAAAGGGAAGCGUUUGACACCAGUGUUGUUUUCUCGAAAAUCAAUUAAAAAUGGCUCGAUUUUGUAUUGUUGAGACCUUAAAAGCUCACUGUACAUUUUUCGUGUCUUUUUUAAUGCACUUUUCGUUUAACAAGUCAACAUCAGUUUCUUUUGUUGUAAAAGGGUCAUUGGAAGGUGGCUUUCUUUUCGGAGAAAGUGUUUAUAGCCUUGGCCUCUGCAAUCGAAGAGACUGAGGUCUGCAGCGUAGACUCUUCGGGGUUAGAUACAUUUGUGCUAAGUUAUAGCUUUUCAUAGACAACUUGUUGACUAUAAUUAGUCUUGUAGCUUACUCGCUUAUGCUAUUUUACCUACGCUUAGGAUGUUGAGUCGUAGAGCACGCAG